UACGUAGGGUGCGAGCGUUGUCCGGAAUUAUUGGGCGUAAAGGGCUCGUAGGCGGUUUGUUGCGUCGGGAGUGAAAAACACUGGGCUUAACCGAGUGCUUGCUUUUCGAUACGGGCAGACUUGAGGCAUUGAGGGGGAGAACGGAAUUCCAGGUGUAGCGGUGAAAUGCGUAGAUAUCUGGAGGAAUACCGGUGGCGAAGGCGGCAUCCUGGACCGGCAUUGACGCUGAGUGAGCGAAAGCCAGGGGAGCAAACGGG
This 257-nucleotide ribosomal RNA is filed under the name uncultured bacterium. RNAcentral describes it as "partial 16S ribosomal RNA". It matches the Rfam family "Bacterial small subunit ribosomal RNA", at positions 524 to 776 of the family's 1533-position model. The record is from RNAcentral.